Molecule: ribosomal RNA, 259 nt
Filed under: uncultured bacterium
Lineage: Bacteria
Description: partial 16S ribosomal RNA
Rfam family: Bacterial small subunit ribosomal RNA
Source: RNAcentral
CGGACGGGUGAGUAACGCGUGGGGAACCUGCCCUGUACCGGGGGAUAGCAGCCGGAAACGGCUGAUAAUACCGCAUAAGCGCACGAAUGUCGCAUGACAUGGUGUGAAAAAACUCCGGUGGUAUAGGAUGGACCCGCGUCUGAUUAGCCUGUUGGUGGGGUAAAAGCCUACCAAAGCGAAGAUCAGUAGCCGAGUUGAGAGACUGACCGGCCACAUUGGGACUGAGACACGGCCCAGACUCCUACGGGAGGCAGCAGCU